UACGGAGGGUGUAAGCGUUAUCCGGAUUUACUGGGUUUAAAGGGUGCGUAGGCGGAUUUGUAAGUCCGAGGUGAAAUCUCCGAGCUUAACUCGGAAACUGCCUUGGAUACUAUAAGUCUUGAAUGACGUUGAGGUUAGCGGAAUAUGUCAUGUAGCGGCGAAAUGCGUAGAUAUGACAUAGAACAUCGAGUGCGAAGGCAGCUAACUAAGCGUAUAGUGACGCUGAUGCACGAAAGCGUGGGGAUCAAACAGG
Molecule: ribosomal RNA, 253 nt
Filed under: uncultured bacterium
Lineage: Bacteria
Description: partial 16S ribosomal RNA
Rfam family: Bacterial small subunit ribosomal RNA
Source: RNAcentral